This is a long non-coding RNA of Astatotilapia calliptera (eastern happy), 1247 nucleotides long. NCBI's taxonomy places the organism in Eukaryota, Metazoa, Chordata, Actinopteri, Cichliformes, Cichlidae. The record is from Ensembl.
CAGGUAUGCUGUACGGCCACAGGCCAGACGUCUGUGAGGAUAGGGGCAUAUGGGUACAUGCAUAGCAGUCAGUUUUGUUAUUCAAAUGAGCUGUAGUGUUCAUAAACUGCCACCAGAAGUUAGUGGCGUAUCCAUGGGGAAACUUGGUGUACUUUCCUUUGUCAUACAGUGUCUGCCUUUUCUCCAUAUAGCGUGACUUGUUGUCCCUCACGGAAGCAAAGGUGAGGAGCCCGGCCAUGGUCAGGGCCGCUGCAGUUGUUAAGAGCCACCACCUCAUGACGACGGGACACACCCUCCUGUCGCGAGUAGACCCCCCGGCCAGGAAAGCUGACCCCUCCACCGGGCGAGAUCACAACAAGUGGGCAAGCCUGCCGUCAGCUGUGUUUAGAUGGCUUCACUGACUCGCCUGCAGUGACUCUGAUGGAUCCAGGAUGGUCGUUCCGCAAUUUUGCAAGCGGUCGGUGUAGUGAGGAGGACUUGGUAUGGCCCCUCCCACCUGGGUGUGCUCCAGUUUUUCCUUUGGAGCACCUUGAUCAGAACCCAGACACCGGGCUUUAGUCUGCAAGACACUGGAGAAACAUCAUCAGCUGCUAUCCACCUUCGCUGGUAUGAGGAAUGAGAGUGGUUGUUCACACGCCCUUCUACUUUCGGACUAUUUCCAAAAGCGGUGUGAACUUUACGAGGCGGAACUCGACCGUUCUCCCAAACCACCAGCACUUCAGCGAACAGCAGUGAAAGGAAAAACACAGUAGGAGCGGCUCAGUCUCUUAUUGGACCGUGAAAAGUCAGCUUGCUCCGUUAGUUACAACAAUACACACAUACAUUCACAUUCACACUUAUUCGCGCGAUCGGAACCCUUAUAAUAAGGGGAGCUGCCAGUCUUUCUGUAGACGAGCUACUUAUUCCCUUGACCCAGCUGGGGGAGCUACUCAGAGCUCCAAACCUAACCCACAAGAGUGGGGAGCUUCCAGUCGACGAGCUCCAAGCUACCAGCCGACGAGCUACUUUAAACCCACAGAAGUGGGGAGCUUCCAGUCGCGACGAGCUACUUUCGCUAUUUUAAAUUCCCUGAAUUUAAAAUACGUUUUUACGCAAGAUUGUGUCAGUGUGUCUGUAUCUACCUGGUCAGUGUCGCCGGGUCUGGUCCACCUCGAUCGGGCCCCACCACCGUGGGUCGCUUUCUAAGAACGUUGGCCAAGACUCGAAUUUAACGCCCUUGGUCUUUGACCACACACCUAGUGUGUGGG